CACCUUCUAAUUACCCUUCUCCCCUCGUUAAAACAGAUCCCCAAAUCCUAAAACUAGGGUUCCUCAAUGUCAUCUGCUUCAUAGUUCUGCUGUACAACCAAGGGUAUAAAAUAGUUAAAGUUGAUUUACUCUUCCAUCAUGGUGGUGAUUGGAUAAGAGAACCACAUCUACUAUACUCUAAGAAAUUGGUUCACACUUGGCCGGGGUACUCCUGCAAUGACAUCAAGGGGAUUGGUUGAGAAGGACUUCGAGCAGAUUGCCGAGUUCCUCCACAGGGCUGUUACCAUCACCUUGAACAUCCAGAAGGAGUACGGAAAGCUUUUGAAGGAUUUCAAUCAACGAACUUGGAAGGGGAAGUUAUGGGGAAGUUCAAAACUUAGCUUCAACUCUACAAUGACAAAAUAUACAACUUUCCACCAUUUUCACGGUCUGAAAAAUGAAAAAAAAAUUGGAAAUGGAGCUUCAGAUUUUUAAAAAUGGAGGAAGGGGGUAUUUUGUACUGUUGGGCGUUGGGAAGGGGGUUUUACGCUCCUGUGCGUCGUGUUCCUCACGCUGCUGAUUAGGACCAACUGACGCCACAUGAUCAAUGGUCAAAUGUGUUUAUUAGUUAUGGAAAAAACGAGUUCGAGUGUUCAAAUGGGAAAGUUAUAAGUUUAUGUAUCGGCUUUAAAAAACCCGGCAAGUUUAAGUCGCCAGGAAGCCAUUUCGCCUUUAUUCUUUGGCCAAUAAGGUCGAGUUAGAGGUUGUUAAAAGUGAUAAGCUAAGGUUGAGAUAUGAAUGUAUUCCAGGGUGUCCAUUUGUACGUCAUAUAUAUGAGGAAAAAGGUUCUCCUGGAGUGAAAAUCAAAACUCUAAAUCCUGAACAUGAGUGUGAUCCAUCAUAUGACAACUCUAUGGUUGAUUACACUACUAUAGCUCAUUAUUUCAAGAAAAAAUUACAAGAUAAUCCAAAGUUUAAGGUAAAGGAAAUGAGGACUGAUUUAAAAGAAGCUUUUGAGUUAAAUGCCAGUAAAGGAAAGUGCAAGAGAGCUAAAAGGAUGGUUUUGGAAAUUUUAAAGGGGAGCUUUACAGAUGGUUACAAGAAAUUAGAGGCUUAUGCCAAUGAACUUAGAAACUCAAAUCCGGAAAGUGAUGUUGUAAUCAAUCUGUCUAAAGAGGAGGGAAAAGAAAAUUUCUUAGAAUGUAUAUUUGCUUCAAGGCAAUGAAGAUGGGAUUUAAGGAAGGUUUGAAACCCUUCAUUGGAUUAGAUGGCACAUUUCUUAAGGGAAAAGCCAAGGGACAAUUACUGGUAGCUGUUGGUCAAGAUAAUAUGAACCACUUUUAUCCUUUAGCUUGGGCAAUUGUAGAUAAAGAGAUAAAAAGAACUUGGAAUUGGUUCUUAGGGCUAUUGCAACAUUCAUUGGAACUCCAGAUGGGUGAAGGUAUAAGGAUCAAAGUGAUGAAUCAAUUGAGAGAACAUGAAGAUUCUGUGACUAAAUGGAGUGGUGAAUUCAGUCCUAAAACAAUGAAGCUAUACAAUGAAUAUAUGAAGAUAGCCCAAGUUUGUGAGUUGAUUCCAAUGGGGAUAAUGGAUUUGAGGUAUCAGAAGGGUCUGACAAGCAUAUUGUGAAUCUGAGAAUAAAAAGGUGCACUUGUAGGGCAUGGGACCUCACUGGAAUUCCAUGCCCACAUGCAAUUAAGGCCUUAUUGUACAAGAGGAUUGAUCCUCUUACUGAAAUGCAUUGGUUCCAUAGCAAGGAAGCAUUCUUGCUAACAUAUAAAUAUAAGUUGCAACCUGUAAGGGGAGAGAAAUUCCGGAAAGUUGACCCUUCUCAAGAAAUGGAACCUCCAGAGUUGGUCAAGCUAGCUGGAAGGCCUAAGGUUAAGAGAGACAGACAGAAAGAAGAGGCAUUUAAGAGGCAAGGAGAAUGGUCUCUUUCAAGGAAAGGUAGAGUAAUGACUUGUAGUAAUUGUGGAGAGCCAAAUCACAAUGCUCGAGGAUGUGACAAGCCAAAACAACCAAAACAGCCAAAAACAAAAAAAAGUAGUAUUUAAAGUAAAAAAGAAGCAACAGCCUACCGGGGGUUUAAAUGAUGAAGAAGAGGUGGGUCCAAUCGAAGAAGACAUUAAUCUAUCAGCCCCCCAACACUCACAAGAUAGCCAAAGCAACACUUGUGUAUUCAUGCAUACUCCAGGAUUGCAAAACAGUAGGGGUUCAUUUCCAGACUUUGAGAACCCCUGCUCUGAGCAUGAGCAUGAGGCAGACCCUGAUUUAAGGCCCAUGGUUAUCUCAGAAAUACUUACUAGACUCCAAAGGGGUAGUAAAAACUUAUACCAACUGGGACCAGGCAAAUUAGCUUCAGAGGUGACCAUACAGGAGCUAGUAUUCCAACAAAUCUUCCAUAUACACCAGACAACUUAAUGUGGAAGGGCAAAGCUGCUAUGACUACAAAUCAAUUGGAAGUUGAACGUCAAAAAAGGAUUGGAAAGUUGAAGCUAAGAAGGGACAUUUUCAGUAGUUUAUUACUGUUUAAGACUUUUAUUUUGUAACUACUGUUUAUGACAGUACUCUUUUGGUUAAUUUGCACUAGUUUGUGUUUUGGUUGGUUAAUUUGGUGAUGUAUUUACUGCUUAUGACAGUACUCUUUUGUAAUUACUGCAUAUGACAAUACUCUUUUGGUUAAUUACUGAUUAGGUUUUGGACUAGCA
Molecule: long non-coding RNA, 2687 nt
Organism: Nicotiana tabacum (common tobacco)
Lineage: Eukaryota; Viridiplantae; Streptophyta; Magnoliopsida; Solanales; Solanaceae
Source: RefSeq, a predicted model, not a curated record